Long non-coding RNA from Acanthochromis polyacanthus (spiny chromis), 1515 nucleotides. RefSeq lists it as uncharacterized. NCBI's taxonomy places the organism in Eukaryota, Metazoa, Chordata, Actinopteri, Pomacentridae. The record is from RefSeq and is a predicted model, not a curated record. The transcript has 4 exons.
ACUCGGCUCCAACUAUGGCUCAGUGAGGCUGCGGCUUUUCUCAGGAUGGUAUCGUAUCGACAGAGGCGCUCUUUGGACCUACAGCAGAGACUGUCUCCGCACUGGACCAGAGGGAGGAACCAGCAUCUUUGUGUUCCUGACUGGAAAUAUUCAUAAUCUGAUAUGAAAAUAUCUGAUUGAUCUACCAAAUUCAGUUUUUGGCACGGAUUCUUUGAACUUACUAAGAGGAUUAAAUUGUAGCGUUACAGCGCGGACACACGUGGAUAGGUUACUAUUAUUUUUGCUUUAACCUGAUCAUGGUGACAACAGCCGAAUGAUUCAAAACUGUAGCUAUGGAUCGUCCUGUAGGUAUCAGGAAAAACUGUCCUGUCCGUGAUGAGUGGCGUCUGUUGCUGCCACAGUCCUCCUGCUGGACAAGUCGGUUGACGGACAGUCGACUCUCUUGGGAUACACGUGGUGUCAACAUUGUCAGAGAUGGUCAGUGUCAUAUGUGUUUGGAAAUGUCUUGUUUUGGAUUUUGGCACAAGGAAAAGGAUAUUUUGGAAUACAUUUUGGAAGCUGUGCUCCGUAGAUGUCCAGUCUCCUGACCCAGCAGUGAAGGAAUCCAGGCUCUUGGCAAUGAGAUGUCAACCUUUAUUUGUUCCCAGCAAUCUUCUGAUUUUCUCCAGUGAGCAGCAAGAAGAGGCUGACUAAUGGAAACAUGAUCUCAAGAGAUUCAACAGGAUCACACCAAAUCCCAGUUUGGAUGGUGGACCAGCAUCCUCCACAGCAGAUGUUUGUUCCUGGCAUGGCUGCUGACAGUAUGAGCUCCAGCCCUGACAAUCUAGCUCUCAGGAUCCAGCCAGCAGCUUGAACUUGGAGGAGCUGUGACAUAAAGUCAGCAGGACAGCAAAGCAUAUUCCACGGCUCAGGCAUCAUGGAAUAUAUCAGUCAACCUCUUCUGGAGUGUACUCAGGAGAGGAGUUAACUUGAUGAAUGUGCAUUUACUGUAGCUACUAUGACGAUCUACAUAUUGUUUGACUAUUUUAUAAAUUGAAACUGAAUUAGUAUUUUCCUGUGCAUACAUCUGCUCUUGCUUUUCAGUAUUUACUGACACUGUUGCUCAUACAUUGUAGUUGUGAUAUUUACUGUGUUAUUCUAAAUACAUCAUCAGCAAUUUUUUAGAUUUCAUUUUUGGACUAUUUUUUUACUGCUUUGAAGGUUACAUCACUGCUUAACUUUUCAGGUUGAUCUAAUGAGGAUACAUAUCUGCUACGCAUGUGAUCAAAAUGCCUCAGAAAAAUUACUCUGCCAAGGCAGUGGAACUUUUCAAAGAAGCCAUUGUUAUCAAGGUCUUGAUGAAUGUAAAACAAAAACUCAUUUAACGACAACGCAUUUUGUUUUGACACAUUGGCAGCGUGUCUUAAUUCUGGUUCAUAAUCCUGUCAAGUUGUCAACUCUCAUCAUGAUUUAUUGCUAUAACAUUUGUGUUGUGUCUGUGAAACCUUGUUAGCAGAAAUAAAGAGGUGCAUCCAA